GUUAGGAAUAUUGGACAAUGGGCGAAAGCCUGAUCCAGUCAUGCCGCGUGAACGAUGAAGGCCUUCGGGUUGUAAAGUUCUUUAGCCGAUGAUUAUAAUGACUGUAGUCGGAAAAUAAGCCCCGGCUAACUUCGUGCCAGCAGCCGCGGUAAUACGAAGGGGGCGAGCGUUAUUCGGAAUCACUGGGCGUAAAGCGUGCGUAGGCGGUGUUGUAAGUUAGGAGUGAAAGCCCAGGGCUCAACCUUGGAAUUGCUCUUAAAACUGCAAGGCUCGAAUCUCGGAGAGGAUAGCGGAAUUUCCAGUGUAGCAGUGAAAUGCGUAGAUAUUGGAAGGAACACCAGUGGCGUAAGCGGCUAUCUGGACGAGUAUUGACGCUGAGGCACGAAAGCGUGGGGAGCAAACAGGAUUAGAUACCCCUGUAGUCC
This 425-nucleotide ribosomal RNA is filed under the name uncultured bacterium. RNAcentral's name for it is "partial 16S ribosomal RNA". It matches the Rfam family "Bacterial small subunit ribosomal RNA", at positions 354 to 796 of the family's 1533-position model. The record is from RNAcentral.